Molecule: long non-coding RNA, 263 nt
Organism: Hordeum vulgare subsp. vulgare (domesticated barley)
Lineage: Eukaryota; Viridiplantae; Streptophyta; Magnoliopsida; Poales; Poaceae
Exons: 2
Source: RefSeq, a predicted model, not a curated record
AUCAGAAGCUAGCAAGUCAAGUGCAUGAAUUGGUUGCACGCGUAAAUGGUCGAUUCGGAACACUGAAAGCAACUCCUAUUCUACAUUUGGUGAAGUACAAAGCCAAGUGUGAAUCUAUGAAGUGUAUCAACAAAGAGUAGUAUAUGUAUUGUAAUAGUAGGCAGUAGUAGGUAUAUCUGGGUUGUGGUGUACUGUAAAGAUUGUAAUAGACAAAUUUAAUGUUGGUUUGGAUGAAUUUCAUUUGCUCCCCAUCUUGUUUGAAA